GACGAACGCUGGCGGCGUGCUUAACACAUGCAAGUCGAGCGGAAGGACGCCGUUUGGGGUACUCUACUGGCGAACACGGGAGUAACACGUGAGUAACCUGCCCUUGACUUCGGGAUAACUUCAGGAAACUGGGCGUAAUACCGGAUAGGAAUCCUUGCUGCAUGGUGGGGGUUGGAAAGCUUCGGCGGUUUUGGAUGGACUCGCGGCUUAUCAGCUUGUUGGUGGGGUAGUGGCUUACCAAGGCGUUGACGGGUAGCCGGCCUGAGAGGGCGACCGGCCACAUUGGGAAUGAGAUACGGGCAAGACUCAUACGGGAGGCAGCAGUGGGGAAUAUUGGACAAUGGGAGGAAGCCUGAUGGAGAAACGCCGCGUGCGGGAUGACGGCCUUAGGGUUGUAAAACGCUUUCAGCAGGGGCGAAGCUUGUGGUGACGGUACCUGAAGAAGAAGCACCGGCUAACUACGUG
Molecule: ribosomal RNA, 465 nt
Filed under: uncultured bacterium
Lineage: Bacteria
Description: partial 16S ribosomal RNA
Rfam family: Bacterial small subunit ribosomal RNA
Source: RNAcentral